GUAUUACUCCCUCUGUCCGAAAAAAAUUGUCCCAAACUUAUCUCUUAAAUGGAUAUAUCUAGCACUAAUUUGGUGUUAGAUACAUCUAAUUGAGGGAUAAACUUUUUCAGACAGAGAAAGUACUUC
Molecule: non-coding RNA, 126 nt
Organism: Triticum urartu
Lineage: Eukaryota; Viridiplantae; Streptophyta; Magnoliopsida; Poales; Poaceae
Source: Rfam